AAGACUAUAGACCUGCGGAGUACCUGCGGAGGGAUCAUUAGUGAACGCCCUCACGGGCUUAUAACUAUUCCAAACCUCUGUGAACCGUGCCCUUCGGGGCUAUUUUACAAACAUGGUGUAAUGAACGUCAUAUAUCAUAACAAAACGAAACUUUUAACAAUGGAUCUCU
RNAcentral lists this unclassified non-coding RNA (169 nucleotides) under soil metagenome. Its description in RNAcentral is "partial contains 5.8S ribosomal RNA, internal transcribed spacer 2, and large subunit ribosomal RNA". The record is from RNAcentral.